Molecule: RNA transcript, 2406 nt
Organism: Quercus robur (English oak)
Lineage: Eukaryota; Viridiplantae; Streptophyta; Magnoliopsida; Fagales; Fagaceae
Gene name: dolichol kinase EVAN
Exons: 15
Source: RefSeq, a predicted model, not a curated record
AUAAAAUCAAAGCCGCGGGUAAAGUCUGCAGGUAGGGCCCACUCUAUUUAUCAUCAACCUAACGGAAACAACCGUAUCAACCAAACCUGAAACCUCAACUAAGCAAACCCAAAAACACCUUUCUUCUCUUCCCUAACGAUUAACAAUGAAAACCAUAUUAUCCCUCCAAUUCCUAUCUCUGAAUUAACAAAAAAAAACUGAAAAAGUUUUAAAAUUUAGAGAGUGAAUUUUUUUUUUGGCGAGCAAUGGCGGCGGCGGCGAUAUUGAACGGGGAGAGAGUGGUGGUGGUUCUGUUCAUCGGUCUCGUUCUCUUCUCUCUCCCUCUCUCUCUCCUCCUUCACGGCGUCGCUCUCUCUCUCCUCGCCCUCUCCGCCCUCUUCAUCGAGAUCCGCGCCGAGGAUGAUGCCUCCUCUUCCUCUUCCCUUUCUCUCUUCAAAACCAGGCCUGGUGCUUCAUCUGGAAUAUUUCUUGGGGCAGUAACACUUCCUGUGGUUAUGCUUUCAAAGUUGAUACAGCUUUCGCGAGCAUUGUCGUUGCGUCAAGUUCCACUUGAAGAGCUUGAAUAUCUGACAAUGCAAUACUGGGCCACAUCUGCCAGCAGCUUGAGUGUACUUGUGUUCCUCUGCAUGGUUAUAUGGCGUUCACCUGACCAUGCACGCCCGCCUUAUUCGCGUAGUGUUAUGGAUGCAAAGUUGAGUUUAAGUGGAACUGUCUUAUUUGCAGUGGUGUGCUGCGUGUCUAUUGCUGCAACAUCCCAUACUGGCUUUCACGCAGUAUUGAAGUUAUUGUGGGUGCUUUUGCAUGGAUUGGCAGCGGUGAAAUUAAUUCAGCAUGUUCUUAGUACUUUUCCCUCUUGUGCUUCUAUUGGGGAAGCACUUUUGGUGACUGCAGGCAUUGUUCUUUAUUUUGGUGACAUGUUGGCAUGUACGAUUGCAAAGGUUACGGGAUACUUGAUUUCAUUGGAGUUGGUUUCUGUACAGUAUGGAGUCAAGAGAAGUGAAAUAGGCAUAAUUAUUCAGGGGGUGCUACUAGGCCUUCUUCUUUUUCCAAUGGUCUUUAAAUUUGUUCUUCGAAUAUGGGAAUGCUCUUCAAGUAGUGCUAACUCUGAAUCAAGAACAUACGAGAUAGGGAAAUCUCUUAUAUUCUUUGCAUCCCUUGGAUUUAUCUUGAUUGUGAUAAUCCCAUCAUGGAUGCAGUUUGCUCAGGAUUUUAGCGUGCAUCCAUUUUUAUGGGUAAUCUCGUUUGUUUUUUCGGAGCCACUGAAAAGACUAUCUUUAUGUAUGUACUGGGUGUGUGUGAUAUAUGUGUCCGUUUUGCGGUUCUACAACAUUUCGAAGAAUAGUAAGAUUGAAAGGAUUCUUCUCCGAAAAUACUACCAUCUGAUGGCUGUUUCAAUGUUUCUGCCUGCUCUUAUCUUCCAGCCAAAGUUUCUUGAUCUAGCAUUUGGUGCAGCUCUGGCAGUUUUCUUGGUGAUAGAAAUUAUUCGAGUGUGGAGAAUUUGGCCUUUGGGACAACUUGUACAUCAAUUUAUGAAUGCUUUCACAGACCAUCGUGAUUCUGAUCUUCUUAUUGUAAGCCAUUUCUCUCUCUUAUUGGGUUGCGCACUUCCAAUUUGGAUGUCUUAUGGAUUCAAUGAUCGACCACUUGCCCCUUUUGCCGGAAUUUUGAGUCUUGGAAUUGGAGAUACAAUGGCGUCAAUGGUUGGCCACAAGUAUGGUGUCCUCAGGUGGAGUAAAACUGGCAAGAAAACUAUUGAAGGGACUGCAGCUGGUAUAACGUCUAUGCUGGCUGCUUGCUCAAUUCUGCUUCCACUUCUAGCAUCUACUGGAUAUAUUUUUACCCAGAUGAAGCUAACAUAGUUGGAGGUGGAAACUCAGUGACAUCGAAGGUUGAAAUUAAGAGUUGAACUAAUGGUUUUUUGUUGUUGUUGGCAUAUAUUGAAGUUGGAGGUGAAAGUCUGGUGACUUUAUGGUUUGAAAUCUUGAGUUGAAGUGUUAAACUCAUAAUUUUAUUUUGCUGACAGCACAAUGAGCUUUUAACUCAGCAUCAGAGGGAUUAAGCUAGCACCUCAGCUUAAAAUCGUGAUCUUAAAUCAUGAUUAACAUGAAAUCAAAGACUGAAGUAUAAAUAUGACUUCAGGAGAUAACGACGGAGUGGAGUGCAGAAAAAGUUGGACAGACAAGAGCGCCAUCAUCCGAGACUGAAAAUGAAAUUUCUUCUUGGUAUGCAAACAAAUCAUAUAAUUGCAGAUAAAGUGAUCUAAAGUACUACAAAUAACUAAACAUAUUAUGACCAUUUCACUAUGUUCUAAACUUGCACAAAAAGUGUUUAUAUCCUACGUGAACAUGUAUGGUAUAAAUGAAUUCAUAUGAUUGCAUGUGUAACCAAAAGAGAGGGGAAGUAUUG